RNAcentral lists this transfer RNA (72 nucleotides) under Camelus bactrianus (Bactrian camel). It matches the Rfam family "tRNA". From Rfam's summary of the family: Transfer RNA (tRNA) molecules are approximately 80 nucleotides in length. RNAcentral also lists the same sequence under 1 other name. Lineage: Eukaryota; Metazoa; Chordata; Mammalia; Artiodactyla; Camelidae. The record is from Rfam by way of RNAcentral.
GAAGGUAUAGCUCAGCGGUAGAGCACAUGCUUAGCAUGCGUGAGGUCCCAGGUUUGAUCCCCAGUACCUCCA